GACGAACGCUGGCGGCGUGCCUAAUACAUGCAAGUUGAGCGCUGAAGGUUGGUACUUGUACCAACUGGAUGAGCAGCGAACGGGUGAGUAACGCGUGGGGAAUCUGCCUUUGAGCGGGGGACAACAUUUGGAAACGAAUGCUAAUACCGCAUAAAAACUUUAAACACAAGUUUUAAGUUUGAAAGAUGCAAUUGCAUCACUCAAAGAUGAUCCCGCGUUGUAUUAGCUAGUUGGUGAGGUAAAGGCUCACCAAGGCGAUGAUACAUAGCCGACCUGAGAGGGUGAUCGGCCACAUUGGGACUGAGACACGGCCCAAACUCCUACGGGAGGCAGCAGUAGGGAAUCUUCGGCAAUGGACGAAAGUCUGACCGAGCAACGCCGCGUGAGUGAAGAAGGUUUUCGGAUCGUAAAACUCUGUUGGUAGAGAAGAACGUUGGUGAGAGUGGAAAGCUCAUCAAGGGACGGUAACUACCCAGAAAGGGACGGAUAACUACGG
Molecule: ribosomal RNA, 496 nt
Filed under: uncultured bacterium
Lineage: Bacteria
Description: partial 16S ribosomal RNA
Rfam family: Bacterial small subunit ribosomal RNA
Source: RNAcentral